GUGAGGAAUAUUGCGCAAUGGAGGCAACUCUGACGCAGCCAUGUCGCGUGCAGGAAGAAGGCGCUACGCGUUGUAAACUGCUUUUAACCGGGAAGAAACCCCAGGACGUGUCCUGGGUUGACGGUACCGGAGGAAUAAGCACCGGCUAACUUCGUGCCAGCAGCCGCGGUAAUACGAAGGGUUCAAGCGUUAUCCGGAUUCAUUGGGUUUAAAGGGUGCGUAGGCGGAUCGUUAAGUCAGUGGUGAAAUCCUGCAGCUUAACUGUAGACUUGCCAUUGAUACUGGCGCUCUUGAGUGCGCUUGAAGUGGGCGGAAUGUGCCGUGUAGCGGUGAAAUGCUUAGAUAUGGCACAGAACACCAAUUGCGAAGGCAGCUCACUAAGGCGAUACUGACGCUGAGGCACGAAAGCGUGGGGAUCGAACAGGAUUAGAAACCCGUGUAGUAC
This 445-nucleotide ribosomal RNA is filed under the name uncultured bacterium. RNAcentral describes it as "partial 16S ribosomal RNA". It matches the Rfam family "Bacterial small subunit ribosomal RNA", at positions 354 to 796 of the family's 1533-position model. The record is from RNAcentral.